GGUCAAGUUAUAAAGAGCAUAGGGCGAAUGCCUUGGCACCAGGAGCCGAAGAAGGACGUGGUAAGCUGCGAUAAGCCUCGGGAAGCCGCAAGCAGGCAUUGAUCCGGGGAUUUCCGAAUGGGGGAACCCAACUAGGGUAAUACCUAGUUGCCCACUACUGAACAAGUAGGUAGUGAGGAGGCAUAC
This is a non-coding RNA of Geosporobacter subterraneus DSM 17957, 186 nucleotides long. The record is from Rfam. NCBI's taxonomy places the organism in Bacteria, Bacillati, Bacillota, Clostridia, Peptostreptococcales, Thermotaleaceae.